RNAcentral lists this transfer RNA (72 nucleotides) under Sphaerodactylus townsendi. RNAcentral describes it as "tRNA-Ala". It matches the Rfam family "tRNA". From Rfam's summary of the family: Transfer RNA (tRNA) molecules are approximately 80 nucleotides in length. Their secondary structure includes four short double-helical elements and three loops (D, anti-codon, and T loops). Lineage: Eukaryota; Metazoa; Chordata; Lepidosauria; Squamata; Sphaerodactylidae. The record is from RNAcentral.
GGGGCUGUGGCUGAGUGGUAGAGCAUCUGCUUGGCAUGUGGAAGGUCCUAAGUUCGAUUCCCAGCAUUUCUU